Oncorhynchus tshawytscha (Chinook salmon) is the source of this 462-nucleotide long non-coding RNA. The record is from Ensembl. NCBI's taxonomy places the organism in Eukaryota, Metazoa, Chordata, Actinopteri, Salmoniformes, Salmonidae.
UGAUGGAACAGCCUGUGUUGGUGGGUAGAGGAAGCAUGAUGGAACAGCCUGUGUUGGUGGGUAGAGGAAGCAUGAUGGAACAGCCUGUGUUGGUGGGUAGAGGAAGCAUGAUGGAACAGCCUGUGUUGGUGGUAGAGGAAGCAUGAUGGAACAGCCUGUGUUGGUGGGUAGAGGAAGCAUGAUGGAACAGCCUGUGUUGGUGGGUAGAGGAAGCAUGAUGGAACAGCCUGUGUUGGUGGGUAGAGGAAGCAUGAUGGAACAGCCUGUGUUGAUGGGUAGAGGAAGCAUGAUGGAACAGCCUGUGUUGGUGGGUAGAGGAAGCAUGAUGGAACAGCCUGUGUUGGUGGGUAGAGGAAGCAUGAUGGAACAGCCUGUGUUGGUGGGUAGAGGAAGCAUGAUGGAACAGCCUGUGUUGUGGUGCAAUCUUGACUCUGGGCUGCGUCCCAAAUGGGACCCUACCCC